UACGUAGGUGGCGAGCGUUAUCCGGAUUUAUUGGGUUUAAAGGGUGCGCAGGCGGCACGGCAAGCCGGCGGUCAAAUCGCGGGGCUCAACCCCGCCCAGCCGUCGGAACUGCCGGGCUAGAGUGGGCGAGAAGUGCGCGGAAUGCGUGGUGUAGCGGUGAAAUGCAUAGAUAUCACGCAGAACUCCGAUUGCGAAGGCAGCGCACCGGUGCCCUACUGACGCUCAGGCACGAAAGCGUGGGGAGCAAACAGG
RNAcentral lists this ribosomal RNA (252 nucleotides) under uncultured bacterium. RNAcentral's name for it is "partial 16S ribosomal RNA". It matches the Rfam family "Bacterial small subunit ribosomal RNA", at positions 524 to 776 of the family's 1533-position model. The record is from RNAcentral.